UGGGGUGUCUAGAACAUCUUCCUUUUUAUCGGCCCUGAGAACAAUUCUCAGGUUACGGAUCCAAUCCGAGUAGUUUGUUCCAUUCAACUUGUCCUUCUCAAGGACCGAACGCAAAGCAAACGAUGUGGUGGUGUUGCUAGGUGCCAUUUAAUCUACAACAAAAGUAAUGCAAAAUACACUAAGACAAACAUAUCCAUGAUAGAGCAAAUUACAUUAAACUAUUUUAACAGAAUCUACUCC
This 240-nucleotide long non-coding RNA is filed under the name Setaria viridis. RNAcentral's name for it is "long non-coding RNA (SVIR_LNC010644)". The record is from RNAcentral. Lineage: Eukaryota; Viridiplantae; Streptophyta; Magnoliopsida; Poales; Poaceae.